RNAcentral lists this ribosomal RNA (1034 nucleotides) under Massilia yuzhufengensis. Its description in RNAcentral is "bacterial SSU rRNA". It matches the Rfam family "Bacterial small subunit ribosomal RNA", at positions 45 to 1075 of the family's 1533-position model. The record is from RNAcentral. Lineage: Bacteria; Pseudomonadati; Pseudomonadota; Betaproteobacteria; Burkholderiales; Oxalobacteraceae.
AGCUUUAACAUGCAGUCGAACGGCAGCGCGGGGCAACCUGGCGGCGAGUGGCGAACGGGUGAGUAAUAUAUCGGAACGUACCCAGAAGUGGGGGAUAACGUAGCGAAAGUUACGCUAAUACCGCAUACGAUCUACGGAUGAAAGUGGGGGACCUUCGGGCCUCAUGCUUUUGGAGCGGCCGAUAUCUGAUUAGCUAGUUGGUGAGGUAAAGGCCCACCAAGGCGACGAUCAGUAGCUGGUCUGAGAGGACGACCAGCCACACUGGAACUGAGACACGGUCCAGACUCCUACGGGAGGCAGCAGUGGGGAAUUUUGGACAAUGGGCGCAAGCCUGAUCCAGCAAUGCCGCGUGAGUGAAGAAGGCCUUCGGGUUGUAAAGCUCUUUUGUCAGGGAAGAAACGGUCCAGGCUAAUACCUUGGGCUAAUGACGGUACCUGAAGAAUAAGCACCGGCUAACUACGUGCCAGCAGCCGCGGUAAUACGUAGGGUGCAAGCGUUAAUCGGAAUUACUGGGCGUAAAGCGUGCGCAGGCGGUUUUGUAAGUCUGACGUGAAAGCCCCGGGCUCAACCUGGGAAUUGCGUUGGAGACUGCAAGGCUUGAAUCUGGCAGAGGGGGGUAGAAUUCCACGUGUAGCAGUGAAAUGCGUAGAGAUGUGGAGGAACACCGAUGGCGAAGGCAGCCCCCUGGGUCAAGAUUGACGCUCAUGCACGAAAGCGUGGGGAGCAAACAGGAUUAGAUACCCUGGUAGUCCACGCCCUAAACGAUGUCUACUAGUUGUCGGGUUUUAAUUAACUUGGUAACGCAGCUAACGCGUGAAGUAGACCGCCUGGGGAGUACGGUCGCAAGAUUAAAACUCAAAGGAAUUGACGGGGACCCGCACAAGCGGUGGAUGAUGUGGAUUAAUUCGAUGCAACGCGAAAAACCUUACCUACCCUUGACAUGGAAAGGAAUCCUGGAGAGAUCCGGGAGUGCCCGAAAGGGAACCCUUCACACAGUGCUGCAUGGGCUGUCGUCAGCUCGUGUCGUGAGAUGU